RNAcentral lists this ribosomal RNA (274 nucleotides) under uncultured bacterium. RNAcentral describes it as "partial 16S ribosomal RNA". It matches the Rfam family "Bacterial small subunit ribosomal RNA", at positions 523 to 796 of the family's 1533-position model. The record is from RNAcentral.
AUACGGAGGGGGCAAGCGUUGUUCGGAAUUACUGGGCGUAAAGGGCGCGGAGGCGGAUUGUCAAGUCAGAGGUGAAAGCCCUGGGCUCAACCUGGGAACUGCCUUUGAAACUAACGGUCUAGAGUCCGAGAGAGGAUGGCGGAAUUCCCAGUGUAGAGGUGAAAUUCGUAGAUAUUGGGAAGAACACCAGUGGCGAAGGCGGCCAUCUGGCUCGGUACUGACGCUGAGGCGCGAAAGCGUGGGGAGCAAACAGGAUUAGAAACCCCGGUAGUCC